UCCUUUUAAAAUAGUCUCCUCCUUGAAAAACAUGAGACGAGGCCUUGUCUGAAAAACCAGCUUUACUCUUACACUGUUAUUUCAUCUCUUCCCUAUCGAAUUCCAACCCUUCUUUUCCUCUUUACGCAUACAAGAACAAAUUUUCAAGGCUCCUCAACCCUCUCUGUUCUACCCUCCUCCUCUUCUUCUUCUUAUUGUACGAACUGAAAUUAGGGUUUUAUUUCUAUUAUCGUUGUACAAUUUAGAAUUGUUUUUGUUUUUGUUUCAGUUUUAUAGUAUUUCCUGCUUAUUUCAAUUGUUCUGAUUUGAUGUAAAUAAUACAAUAACAGCGAAGCUAUUUUCAUCUUGUAAUCUAGUUUAUACAUCUUUGUCGCCCAAUUGUAUGUAAGUUAGGGUUCGGAUUGGGAGUUUAUUUUUGUUUAGUUUUUGGGCGUUUGAUUUGGCUGGCAUGGAGAACUCGCGUAGACCGUUCGAUAGAUCGCGAGAGCCUGGACCGAAGAAGCCCAGAUUGAUGGAAGAGCUGGAUCGGGCUCCGAAUUCUGGUGCGAGACAGUUUCCUCAACUACAAGUGAUUUCUGGGGUUUCGACGUUACCGUCUGCAAGGUUUAGAACAACCGAAAGAGACGUUGAAAGCAAUGAUUUUGGUCGCCGGGGUGGUGCUGGAGGUGGCGGUUAUCAGCCCCAGCCACUGCCAUUUCAGGAGCUUGUUACUCAGUAUAAGGCAGCUCUUGCAGAACUUACUUUCAACUCGAAACCGAUAAUUACCAACUUGACUAUCAUUGCAGGGGAGAACCAAGCUGCAGAGAAGGCCAUUGCAGCAACUGUUUGUGCUAACAUUUUAGAGGUUCCUAGUGAUCAAAAGCUGCCAUCACUUUAUCUCUUAGACAGUAUUGUUAAGAAUAUUGGGCGGGAUUAUAUAAAAUACUUCGCUGCCAGGCUACCUGAGGUAUUCUGCAAAGCAUACAGACAGGUUGAUCCUUCUGUCCAUCAAAGUAUGAGGCAUCUUUUUGGAACUUGGAAAGGAGUCUUUCCUCCUCAGACCCUUCAGAUUAUUGAGAAAGAACUGGGCUUCACUUCUGCAGUCAAUGGCUCGUCUGCUUCUUCUACUCUCAGGAGUGAUUCACAGUCACAACGUCCACCUCAUAGUAUUCAUGUUAAUCCCAAGUAUUUAGAAAGACAACGUCUACAGCAGUCCAGCAGGACUAAAGGAGUUGAUGAUAUGACUGGAGCAAUUUCAAACUCAAAUGAUGACCAAGAGAUGCCUGGUAGAACUUUAGGUGUUUUACGAUCAUGGGUGGAUCAUAAUGUUACUGUUAGCGUCCAUUCACGUGAAAAUGAUCAACGUGCUCGAAGAGAUGCAUUCAAUGAUUCUGUUCCAGAAAAGAGCACUGGUGCAUCCUAUGGAAGCAAUGAACUUGGUUCCAAUAUUUCAAGGAAUUUAGGCUUGGGUAUCAGCCGACCUGGUGGUAGGGUGACCGAGUCAGGACAUGACAAAGGUUGGUACAACAAAUCUGGUGUUGUUGCAGGGACCAUGCCUGGGCAAAGAAAUGGUUUGAGUAACAAGUAUAGUUUUUCAAGUACUGAAGCAUCAAAGUCCAUGGUUUUGGAUGCACAUCAUCAACCGGCACAUAAUAUAACUAGCACACAGAGCAGUGUGAUCUCAAAUAGCUGGAAAAAUUCCGAGGAAGAGGAGUACACAUGGGAUGAGAUGAACUCUGGCUUGACUGGUCACAGUACAUCUAUUGUUAGCAGCUUGAGCAAAGAUACUUGGACUGCUGAUGAUGAGAAUUUGGAAGUUGAAGAUCGCAUCCAAGUCAAAAAUCCUUUUGUGGUAAAUGCUGAUAGAGAAAUAGUUAUUGAAUCUCAAGCCAAUGAAAAGAAACAAUUUCCUGCAUCUCAACAUCAUUCAUCACUAUCAUGGCAAUUGCAGGAGCAGCAUUCUAUUAAUGAGUUGAAUCGAAAAGCUGGUCACUCCAGCAGAUUUGUGUCCGCACUUGGUGCCAUACCGUCCAAUACAAAUGCCUCUACUGCCAGAAUGGGGAGUCGGCCAUUCCUUUCAAGUGCAACCAUAGGAUUGCCAGGAAUUGCAGGACCCUUUCAUUCUUUGGGAGCUGAAAACCCUUCAGGGCAGUCACCUUUGCAGCGGAGGUCUCCAUCACCACCAGGUCCAUUCUCUUCAAUGACUUUUCAGGCAAGGCAUCAGCAGCAAUUGGGCACUUCUCUUGAGGUUACUGUUAAGACUGAGAAGCCACCUGUGUCCAAGGUUCCUUUAGUCAGAGAAACUAAAAGUAGCAUGAGUACAGGGAAUCUUCCAACUCGAUUAGGUGUUCGGCCUUCACGAACAGGUGGUCCUUCCCCUGCCACAUUAAUUUCUUCAUUGUCCACUAGUGCAUUACCAUCUUCAUUAGGUCCUUCUGGUGAUAAUUCAUCUGCUCUCUCAAAAAUGCCUCAAAGAAAGGCUGGACAACCACCUAGGUUAUCUACUCUACCAUCUACUGCCUCUAAUGUCAGCAGUGCCUCUGCCCAGACAAGUGAUACCAAUCAUAACUUGAAUCCAAUUGCCAACCUUUUAAGCUCUUUAGUUGCAAAAGGCUUGAUAUCUGCAGAAACAGAAUCAACAUCUAAGGAGCCCUCUGAGUUGCUGACUCGACUGGAAGAAGAAAGCGAUAGCAUUACCACCGGUAACUCUUUACCUGUGGCCUCAAUUUCUGGUUCUGCAGCUGUACCAGUCCCUUCAAUCAAAGAUGAGGUUGAUGACACUGCAAGAACGCCCAUAUCCUUGUCUGAAUCAACCAGUCCAGGAGUAGUAAAUGUCAUUGGCUUUGAGUUUAAGCAUGAUGUAUUACGAGAAUUCCAUUCAUCUGUAAUUAGUGGAUUAUUUGAUGAUCUUCCACAUCAUUGCAGCAUUUGUGGCUUUAGACUUAGAUUCCAAAAACAGUUCAAUAGACACUUGGAGUGGCAUGCCACAAGGGAUAGAGAAGAGAAUGGUUUAACUAAGGCAGUGAGAUGGUAUCUUAAGUCAAGUGACUGGAUUGUUGGCAAGGCUGAAUAUGUAUCAGAGAAUGAUGCUGAUUCUGUAGAUACUUAUGGCAAUGAAGCAGACAGAAGUCAAGAGGAUGCUAUGGUUGUAGCAGAUGAAAACCAAUGCUUGUGUGUGUUGUGCGGUGAGCUAUUUGAAGAUUUUUACUGUGAGGAAAGUGGGGAAUGGAUGUUCAAAGGAGCUGUUUACUUUGCUAACUCUAAUAGCAACAGUGAGAUGGGAACUGGAGAUAUGAGUACUGGAAGGGGUCCCAUCAUUCAUGCAAAUUGCUUAUCAGAUAACUUGAUUUCAAGUGUCCAUGAGAUGGACAGGAUUAAAUCAAGUUAACAUUGGAGCUCUGUUGUAACAAGAACUUUGUAGGUGAGGGAACUAAGGUUUACUUUGAAUUAAUCAAAUCUUAUGGCUUUUAAUGCUAAAUUGUUUUCUAAUUGGUUUCAAGAGUUGUCAAACGAAUUUUGUGCACUUCAUUUUUCUUUUGUUUUCUUUAGUUUCUUUUGCACUCAGGAAGGAAGAGGAUAUUCCUUAGUGUUCAGAGUAUGUAAAGUGCGUUAGCUUUUCCACCUCAACUUUUGCUUAUUGAUGUGGUUGGUUGCAUUACUUCAUUUUGGUUAUUGAAGUGGGUUUUUGCCUUUUAAACAACAUCUGGUUGUAAUAUGGGGCAAAGCACUGUGGUCGUUGUAGUUAUCCCAAAUGUUGGAUGGCAUUCUCUGUAUCAUAUGAAUUCUAACUAUUCUGAUUACCUUUUAUGUGUUUUCCUUGCACACUGUCCUUCGCAAGGGGUUUCGGAAUUGCAGUGUUACUUUCUACCGGGACAUUGCUUUCCUAAUGUUAUAAAUUUCAUUUCUAAGAACAAUAGCGAAUGUUGAUUUGUAUUUUUCUUGGAGAGUACUGACUGAGUUUUUCAUUUUUUUGGCUUUGAAUAAAGAUGAAAGAUGUACAUUUCCUAUUCAGAUGCGGAGCCUUUAUUGUUUAUUCUGCUAGACACAACUUGAAUCCCGGAAAAAACAGAAGACGGUUUUAUUGGUUUUAUAUUAGGGACUCGUACUUAAUACUCUGCCUUUGAACCAAAGUUCAAGUCCAAUUGAUUCAAGGCUUGUGGCGUUGCGUGUAGAUGUAAUCCAAGUGCGCCUCCACCAUCAUCCUUCUGCUAUUGCACCCUUCAUCAUUCUCAAAGCACUCCUCCGAACCCAUUAACUGUAUGAAAUAACAUCCAAUUAGAGAAACAUUUCCUGUUUUCAAUCUCUGUAAAAACUCUGUACAAAACAGUGAACAGAAAGUGAAAACAGAAGACAUAAUUGUUUUCA
Molecule: non-coding RNA, 4344 nt
Organism: Vigna umbellata (rice bean)
Lineage: Eukaryota; Viridiplantae; Streptophyta; Magnoliopsida; Fabales; Fabaceae
Source: RefSeq, a predicted model, not a curated record